CUUUUUGGUUUGGGCAAAAGAAUGGAGUAAACUGGUAUCAUCCUCAGGAAAGAUUAGCAGAGCCCCUGCGCAUGACAUGCAAAUUGAUGAAGCAUUCCAUAUUUUU
Molecule: small nuclear RNA, 106 nt
Organism: Myotis lucifugus (little brown bat)
Lineage: Eukaryota; Metazoa; Chordata; Mammalia; Chiroptera; Vespertilionidae
Source: Ensembl